This 430-nucleotide ribosomal RNA is filed under the name uncultured bacterium. RNAcentral describes it as "bacterial SSU rRNA". It matches the Rfam family "Bacterial small subunit ribosomal RNA", at positions 8 to 450 of the family's 1533-position model. The record is from RNAcentral.
AGAGUUUGAUCCUGGCUCAGAACGAACGCUGGCGGCGUGCUUAACACAUGCAAGUCGAGUGCGCGGUUGUAGCAAUACAACUGGCGCACGGCGCACGGGUGCGUAACACGUGGGUAACCUGCCCUUUGGUGGGGAAUAACUCCGCGAAAGCGGAGCUAAUUCCGCAUAAGAUCCGCAAGGAUGAAAGCCGCAAGGCGCCGAAGGAGGGGCCCGCGCCCGAUUAGCUAGUUGGUGAGGUAAUGGCUCACCAAGGCUUUGAUCGGUAGCUGGUCUGAGAGGAUGAUCAGCCACACUGGAACUGAGACACGGUCCAGACUCCUACGGGAGGCAGCAGUGGGGAAUCUUGCACAAUGGGCGAAAGCCUGAUGCAGCGACGCCGCGUGGGGGAUGAAGCAUUUCGGUGUGUAAACCCCUUUCGAUCCGGACGAGA